This 459-nucleotide ribosomal RNA is filed under the name uncultured bacterium. RNAcentral describes it as "partial 16S ribosomal RNA". It matches the Rfam family "Bacterial small subunit ribosomal RNA", at positions 338 to 795 of the family's 1533-position model. The record is from RNAcentral.
CCUACGGGUGGCAGCAGUGAGGAAUUUUGGUCAAUGGCCGCAAGUCUGAACCAGCCAAGUCGCGUGACGGAAGACGGCCCUACGGGUUGUAAACCUCUUUUGUCGGGGAGCAAAGCGAGUCGCGUGUGACUCCUUGUGAUUACCCUACGAAAAAGCAUCGGCUAACUCCGUUCCAUCCGCCGCGGUAAUACGGAGGAUGCGAGCGUUAUCCGGAUUUAUUGGGUUAAACGGGGGCGCAGGCGGAGGUGCAAGUCAGCGGUCAAAUUGCGGGGCUCAACCCCGUACUGCCGUUGAAACUGCAGGCCUAGAGUGUGCGAGAGGGAGGCGGAAUGCGAGGUGUAGCGGUGAAAUGCAUAGAGAUCACGCAGAAUUCCGAUUGCGAAGGCAGCAUACUGGGGCGAAACUGACGCUCAUGCACGAAAGCGUGGGUAGCGAACAGGAUUAGAUACCCCUGUAGUC